UGUGAUCUCUGAAAGAAAAAAAGAGAAACUAAACUGAACAACUAUUAUAAAAUUUGCUUACUCAGUGAUUCUCUAAUGAAUACCUAAAUGAUUCCAUGUUUUCUGGCUUGAAAUAAGGGCUAUGGCCGCUGGAGGACCCAUGCUGGAGCAGUCUGUUCCUGAUGGAUUACACCCCAUGGAGAGGACCAUGCUGGAGCAGUUAUGGAAGAACUGAAGCCUGUUGGAAGGAUCCAUGUUGGAUCAGUUCAUGAACGACUUUUAUUUUGUGGGUAGGACUCCAUGCUGGAACCCAGGAACAGCAUGAAGAGAAAGGAGCAGCAGAAUCAAAGUGUUAUGAACUUGCUACAGCCUCCAUUCCCCAUCCCCCUGCACCACUCAGGUAGGGAAGGGGGAGGCAGAAGAGCUGGGAAC
Long non-coding RNA from Pezoporus flaviventris, 411 nucleotides. RefSeq lists it as uncharacterized. The transcript is spliced from 2 exons. NCBI's taxonomy places the organism in Eukaryota, Metazoa, Chordata, Aves, Psittaciformes, Psittacidae. The record is from RefSeq and is a predicted model, not a curated record.